UAGAAUCCGUGGAGUUAGCUGCUUCACUCACAUGUUCAGAUGGACUGCAAAAUAUAGCAACAGCUGUCAUAGUGUAUAUACCUUCCCUAGCACUGAGAUAAGAUGAUUUUUCAAUUUGUUAUUUUUUUCACUAAGACUGAAAGGAUUAAAUACGGUGUGGUUACAGAGAUACAGAUGUGUCAGAUUGGAGAAAGAUAGAGAUGCAAUUAUUAGCUAAAGGAACGUGCAGAACUUCAAGACUUGAGUUAACAACUUCCAAAAGGGGAGUCAUAUGGAUCGAUCAAGUGUCACUCAUACCUUCAGAUACAUACAAGGUGAAUUGCAUUUUUAUCCUGUCUUCCUAACGGGUACUGAAAAUUCCAAACACAUGAUGUGAUCUGGAAUAAUAACAAUAAUAAUAGUUUGCAUUUAUAAUUUAGAAACUCGAAUAAUAAUAACAAUAAUAAUAAAAAUAAUGAUGAUGAUGAUGAUAAUUUAAUCCACCUUAUCUAAUGCUUCUAAAAUAUAAAUAAUAAGAGUAGGAACUGGUUUGUUGUACCUUAAUCGUUAUUUUGUUGUAUAUAUACAGGGCCAUGGCUUUCGCAAGGAACUCAUACACAUGCUUAUGGACUUAAGACCACGGUUCCUUCGAUUUCCUGGUAUUUCAUAUGUUUUUUAAAUUAAGAUCAACUAAUAAAUGCUGCACGUUUACGUUCUAAACUUUUAGCAUGUUUAUGAUACUGUUUAUAUCCAAUGAUUCUUGCAAACUUUCGAUUGGUAUUCCUUUGUAUUUUUUUAGAUCAUAUUCAGCCAUUAGGUUUUGGCAGGAACUAAUUAAGCAACCCAUCUCAAACCGGAAUAUGCCUAGACGGACAAUCAUAAACAUUAUUAUGUCUGCCAAAGGAACUACUAAUUACAGAAGCACAAAACUGUAGAAGUACACUGUAGUCUCCUUUGUACUGCAUAUCACCUUUUGUUCUGUAGAAUGCAUUUUUUAUGGUUGCGAAAUCAAGUUAAAACUGACAAGGUUUGAUGUGCAAGAUAGAGUAGGACUCUCUAUUGUACCAUGUACUGUGUUUAUAUAUGCCCGCAUUAGGCCCAUAUCAAUAGCUGACCUUAUUACACAAGAGUGUUAAACAUAUAUGAUCAAAUAGAUCCUUAAUGUUCUCUUAUGUAUCAAGUUGGCUAACCCGAAAAGCAGAUCUUGCAGCUGGUGUACCCAGCAGACAGUUUUUAUACUGUGGUAUUUUUAAUUCAUAAUGGAAGCUUUUAUUACCCCCGGCCUCUGCAUCAUAAGAUUCAUACACACAAAUUUAUCUUGUGGUAUAGUCCAAGAUAUGGAUAACACAAAAAUCUAAAACUACUUUACCAGAACAAACUGUAAUUGAGCACAAAAUUCUUAUUAUUUUAGUGUCUCAUGCAACGUUCUUUUUACAUAGUCAUUCUGUUUAGGUUGAUUUGAGAAUUGAGAUGAUAUGCUUAAGUAUAUCAUUGCCUUUUUAGAACUGUACAACUUAUUAAUCUUCGUCCAGAUUAGAGUGAUGAUGCUAAUGUACUUGGCACUGUAUGCUUAACGCAUAAAUUUGAAGAAUGAGUAGAAGUUUCAAAUUUGACGACAAGUUAAACUGAAAAUGACUAUCUUACGCCUAAUGUCAUAUGUGCCAUAUUUCUCUGUAUUUUUCAUAUGGAUGCCAUAUUUCUCUGUAUUUUUUCAUAUGAAUGCCAUGCUGGGUACUUUAUUCUAGAAACAAAUGAAAUUUUGUAACCAGAUUUUUAAAAAUUCUUCAAUCAUACAUAUAUUGAUAUUUCACACCAUUUUUUUAUAGGUGGUACCUUUGUUGAAGGGAAUUUGUUAAGAAAUGCUUUCAGAUGGAGGGAAACUAUCGGUCCAUGGGAAGAGAGGCCUGGUCACUAUGGAGACGUCUGGAACUACUGGACAGAUGAUGGUCUUGGGUAUUAUGAGCUUCUCCAGGUAUGCUGAUUAAUCUCAUAUGAAUUUUCUAGGUGUAGCCAUAUCUUAACUCAUACAUUGAGUGUGCGAUGUCUAUGAAAGCUUGCGGAAGACCUGGCCGCCGAACCAAUCUGGGUUUUUAACGCUGGUAAAUAGUACUCUUGCAAUUUUUCCUUUAAUCGUACUUUAACAUAUCUUGCAGAAUAAUCACCUGCAUACCGAUUAAUUUCUUGAACUUUUUUCUCUUGAAUUUUAGGGAUCAGCCGGCAUGAUCAAGUUGAUAUCACUGCUAUUGCACCCUUUGUAAAGGUAUUUUUUUAUGGAAUAGAUCUUUCACUGUAUGGAUCACUCUUAGUGCAGUACAGUUUAAUGUUCUUUUUUAUGGGUGCAUAUACAAAAAGAACAUAUGGCGUCUCUUUUCAGAACAUAUUUAUGAGCAUAUUAGAUCCAGGUAAGUUAGGUGGUCUUGAAAAUAGCAGCUGUACACACUAGUUUACUGGUAUGGUAUCUGAAUGACAACAACACAUAGACAUAUAGUGUGUAUACUCAAUGGAACAUUGCUCAGAGGGAAGAUAGUUAGCAUAAUGAAAAGCCAAACUGGCACAAUGGGACAUAGUGUGUCACCUAUGUCACUGUCAAUGUUCUUCAAAAAAAGUUAACCCACAUAGCAGAUGCUAUGGAUCUAACAAGAGCUCUUUUAAAAUUGUACUGGUGUAUUUAUGUAUUUGUGAUGCAGAGGGUUUAACCUCCUUUUCCAAAAAAAAUAUUAUGUAUUUGUGAAAAGGCAUCAAUAUCUUUAGAAAGGUUAAAGUGGCCUCUUAUCCUCUACUCCAUCCGUUCCUAAAUAUAAGUCUUUUUAGAGGUUCCACUAGGGGACUACAUACGGAUGUAUAUAGACACACUUUAGAGCGUAGAUUCACUCAUUUUGCUUCAUAUGUAGCCCCCUAGUGAAAUCUCUAAAAGACUUAUAUUUAGGAACGGAGGGAGUACAAAGUAAUAUAUCAUCCUAGCUAUUAUAUCAACAUAACUGGACGAUCCAGAACAAUUUGGGAGCAUCUUAAAAUUUCUCAUCUAAAAAAUAUUUAGGCCUAUGCAUUUCUCAUGAUUGUAAGUUCUUUGUUUUUUUUUGCCUUGCUAUAGGAUGUAUUGGACAGCCUUGAGUUCGCUAGGGGAAGUUUAAAAUCAACAUGGGGAUCCGUUAGAGCUGCAAUGGGGCAUCCUGAACGAUUUCCACUGAAGUAUGUCGCGGUUGGGAAUGAAGACUGUGACAACACCAAACCAUUUUACCAGGGUAAAUUUUUAUUAGUAAUUAACAUGCGUAAACUGUAAAGGUAAUGUUUGCCAUUUAAUACUCCCUCUGUAAAGAANNNNNNNNNNNNNNNNNNNNNNNNNNNNNNNNNNNNNNNNNNNNNNNNNNNNNNNNNNNNNNNNNNNNNNNNNNNNNNNNNNNNNNNNNNNNNNNNNNNNNNNNNNNNNNNNNNNNNNNNNNNNNNNNNNNNNNNNNNNNNNNNNNNNNNNNNNNNNNNNNNNNNNNNNNNNNNNNNNNNNNNNNNNNNNNNNNNNNNNNNNNNNNNNNNNNNNNNNNNNNNNNNNNNNNNNNNNNNNNNNNNNNNNNNNNNNNNNNNNNUUCUUUACAGAGGGAGUACCUUAGUAUUCUGAAGUGAUGUGAUGGCCAUUGGCCAAGUCUAAUCGACAAUUCCUCGACAUGACUUUUUUUGUCAAGCAUAUCUAAAACCACAUUUUACAUCUUUAUUUCCCUUUUUUAGCCAUAAUUGAAUUGUGGACUUGAUUAUGAGCAACGCCAUGACAAAAAUGGAAGAAAAAAUUUAGCCGUCCACUAGACCACUAACAUUGGAUUUGCACAUAAAUUAAGCUUUCCAUCCUAGCUUACAGAAUUACAGUGGCCUUCACUUGUUUUGGUGGAAUAAUAAAAAAUGAAGAGCUUGCUUAGAAUUUCCCAUGUUUCACAUGAUGUCCUUAAAUUCUAUUCAACAGGACAUUACCUCAAGUUCUACAAUGCCAUACGAGAGGCCUAUCCAGAUAUUCAAAUUAUUUCAAACUGUGACGGCUCAUCUAAGCCACUUGACCAUCCUGCGGAUUUAUAUGAUUUCCAUGUGAGUUUAUUGCUUGCAAAUUAGUUUGUCAUUUCUCCCUGUUUAACUGUCACCAGAUAUUUUAGUAGUUAUUUUAUCAAUGGUUUCUUAAAAUACUCUGCCUUCGUUUCUGUAGACAUAUAAGGAUGCGAAUAAUAUUUUUCUCAUGAAAGAUACGUUUAGCAGGACAUCACGUACCGGGCCUAAGGUACGGCUUAGUUUCUAAAGGCGUAUGGAGUGGUUUAUGUUGGUAAUAGAUGUUUCAUGGACCUAGUUUCUGACUUUCUAGGGAGUUCUGAGGUCACUGUUUCUUAUGCUUAUUGUGCAACUGAAAUUGACAUCCAUGUGUACUGAUUAAUAUACCAAAAAAUCUAUUGAAAUCAUCGUAUUAUAUUUUUUCAAUUCCCAUACAGUUUUCUUAGAUUCUUGGAAGAAAGAUCUUAACAGAUCCAUAGUGAUAAGCGCCACACUGUUAUCAUGUUCUAGAAUUGUGUGUUCUGUAGACUGAAGGUGUCUUAUAAUUAUCCUAAGAUCUUAUUUCAGGUAUUCGUUAGUGAGUAUGCUGUUCAUGUUGAUGGGGAUACCAGCAAGGGAACCCUUCUAGCUUCAUUGGCAGAAGCUGCAUUCCUCAUUGGAUUAGAAGUGAAUAGGUAAUGUCUUGCCUUCCUUCUUUUCUUGAGGUUUAGGGAAACACUACUAAUGCAAAGGGUUGUCUUUUUAUCAUAAGUUAUCUUUCUGUAUAAGUUUUCCUGGGUGUAAAUGCUCUUUGAUACCUGUUCAUAUGGUAAGAAACUAUGAGAUAUAUAUGUUGAACAAUGAAUAAUCUUCUAAAUAUUUAUUUAACAAUAAUGCCUUACUAUGAGUUAUUGAGAUGGUUUUGCGUUAUUCUCCUCUGCAGUGAUAUCGUCCACAUGGCGAGCUAUGCUCCACUCUUCGUAAAUGAAAACGACCGCCAGUUAGCACUGACAGCUUUCUGUGUGUGUUUUCGUACUAGCAUUCUUAUUUAUGAUGGUUUCAUAAUUAUGUCUGAAUAUAAUGAUCAGGUGGACCCCAGAUGCAAUAGUCUUCAACUCCUGGCAACAGUAUGGAACUCCUAGCUACUGGAUGCAGACAUUUUUCCGUGAAUCAAGUGGUGCUGUGAUCCAUCCUAUGAGACUCAAUUCCAGCUACUCUGGUUCAUUGGCAGCAUCUGCAAUUACCUGGGGAGACAAUGAGGAUAUCUUCCUGAGGAUAAAGGUAAACUCAGUUGUCCCAGUUUCCACCGAGCCUGCAUGUCAUUGCUUCACUUCAUUAGAUAAAGGGUAGUAAAAAACUCACAGAUAUGGUUUCUACUGCUAGAGUAAUAUGUCUAGCUUUUAGGAAUUAGAACUCCGUACCGAUCUUCAUGUGAUCUUCUGCAGAUUGUGAACUUUGGGUCAAAUGCUGUGAACCUCACCUUAUCUGCAAUCGGACUGCAAGCUGGUGUCAAUACGUCACGCUCAGCUGUCACCGUUCUCACAUCCGACAAUGUGUUGGAUGAGAACACGUUCGAUGACCCACGUAACGUAAGAUGGUUCCUUUGCUUUUCUUACGGAUUUUCUGUUUCAUACAUUACGCGCUAGAAUUUUUCGUGUAACAUGUAUCUUGCAAAUGGUGCAGGUUGUGCCAGAAAGAAGUGACCUACCCAAUGCUGCAGAAGAGAUGCAAGCCAUGCUUGUUCCUCACUCUUUCACUUCAUUUGAUCUGGCUCUGGAUCAGUACGGCGAGCUCGUAG
Molecule: long non-coding RNA, 5776 nt
Filed under: Hordeum vulgare
Lineage: Eukaryota; Viridiplantae; Streptophyta; Magnoliopsida; Poales; Poaceae
Description: long non-coding RNA (HVUL_LNC009144)
Source: RNAcentral